CCCCAAAUUGCCCAGUCUUGGGUAUGUAUUUAUCAGCAGUGUGAAAAUGGACUAAUACAAUCCUUCAAAUUUUCAUGCCAUCUGUGCAAAAUAUAGAUGAGAAACUGGCUAAUUUAUAACUGCUGGAAUUUUAUUUAUUCCCUAAGUGAUUUGAGUUAAUACUGCAAAUUAAUAUAACAAUAUAGAUAUAUAUUGUAUAUGGGACCUUGGAUCAGUACAAACUGUAGUCUAAAUGCACUUUGUAUUCAAUAUGUCCUUGAUUAAGAAAUUGGUGAAUAAAUAAAUGAUAGGGACUGGGGUGGCAAGGGUCACACUAAGCUCAUCUGCGCUUGGAGAGUCAAGGUUAAACUAGAAGCAAAGAUGUGGAAUAGGAUGAGGAAAAAGCUGGAUGUCAGGUGUGUGCAGCAGCACCGUUAAGGCACAGCUUCCUACCUGGAGUUCCCAGCUAUUCACUAUUCUUCCCAUAGCGAUGAGUUGAGGCUCACUCCUCUGAAUUUGCCUAGUGCCUUCACACACCUCUAUAGCACUUUUGUCCUUGUCAGCUUAGUGCACUAGGCAGUGUCCUCCCAAGCCGUGGCACUUAGUCUUUUUGUUCUGUGCCCCUUUAGUCUUUUUGUUCUGUGCCCCUGGUCUCCUCAUAGCACCAGGUAUACUAUGGAGAUGUGGUCCACACACAGGCCAGAGAGCCAGCUGGGGCUGUUGAGCUUGGAAAUGUGGCCUGUGAUCUAAUUUCAGGAUGAGAAACUUAGAAAGUUGCCUUAUUCUUGAUGUUUUUCAAAUAAUUCUAGAUGUAAUCAUUUUGGUGGCUUAAAAGCAGUGCCAACUUUCUUAAUGGCAUUCUUCUACUCAAUAAAGCAGGCAAUUUAAGUUCCAAGGAUGUAUAUAUUUCCUAUGAAACCCAAUAAGUCUAUUUUCUUUUUGAAUGAAAGAAAUAUAGCCUCUAAGUAAUACACACACACAUACACCCCUAUGUGUACAUGUAUGUAUCCAUACAUAUUAUUCCUGUAUUGGCCUUCAUGUAAAAGAAGGCUGCUCAGUACUGGACUCCAUGAUCAGCAAAUGCCAAACUUGGGAAACGUUCAAGUCAUCAGUCCAUAGAUACAUUUAACCAGUAAUGCAUCAGUCUUCCCCAUAGGUAGAUCCCAUCAGAGAGACAUCAGUAGCCUCAGCUGCUUCCUCCUGGCUGAUACCCCAAAGACAUUAGGGUGUUCAGUGAUACCUGCCAGGUGCCCACCUCCCAGAAAUGGUGUUUAAAUGAUGGCCUAACAAAAAAGGUCAGUGGACAUCAUGUUAUGUGUGCAUUUCACCUGCAUAAAUGCAAUCACAGGGGCUGUAGUAACCAUAGAAGUGUGCCACUCAGAUUCCCUUUUAAGAGGACCUUUUGUGGGAAGCACAGCUGAUGGCAGCUGUUAGACUUUCACAUUUGAAACUGCCAAUGCUGUGCGUCAUCUAGACUCUUCUAGCCAACAUCUGGGUAUGGCAGGGGCACUGGGUCCAUUCCUUCUCUACCCAAUGUGGGAUUCCACUAACAGGCAGUGUUGUGUUUGCUUGUUGACUCCUUAUUGGUUUGGCUGAGAUUUUCUUAGAACUUCAGUGUAGUCUGAGCUUUUCCUGGCCAAUCCUUCUUUCUCCCUCUCCUUGCAUAAGUAUCCAAUCUGUGUUAUGAUCUGAAAGCUCUUCCUCAUCACUCCUGCUCCCUUUUUCUUUAUCUUUCAUAUGUGUUUUCCCCAUCAAAUCUCUUGUUUAUCUAAUCCCUUUUUGGUGCCUACCUCUCAGAAAAUCUGAAUUGAUACAGCAGCUCAUCUGAAAAAAAAAGAUGGGGUGGUGGUGGUGGUGGAGAAAACAGCAACUUAAAUAGUGCCAUCUACGAAUUAGGAGUGUUCACUGAAUGAGCAUGAGAUGCAGGUACCUUGUUCCCUCAGCCAGGUUCUAUGUUCCUUAAAGUCCUAAUUUUAGUCAGUAAAUAUUUAUGGCAUUUACUCUAUGCCAGACAAUGUUCUAAAUAUUUUAUUUAUACUGAAUUAUUUGGUGUUUACAUCAGCCAUAUGAUUAACUACUGUUUCCAUUUUGCAGAUGAGAACAUUGAAGCACAGAGAAAUUAUGUUAACUUGUCCAGUGCCAAAGAGCUAUUAAGUGGCAGAGCUGGGAUUUACUUCCACUGCACUGUUGCCUCUUUGGUUAGGAGCUCUUUGCUGUGCUGAGAUUGCAGUAUUUAAAGAUAGACACUGCACCAGGAACUGGAGGACAAGGUAGCCAAUUUCUUGCCAUUCUAUUAAGGGAGGAAGAUUUUAAACAAAUAACUACAACAAAAUGUACAGAGUGGCAUGAUCAAAGGAGUACAAGGAGCUAUCAGAGAUGACUAGGAGUUGGCCAGAUGAAGAAAGUGUAGAGGGAAGUGUCUUGAAACCUUUCCCCUGAACAAACCUGAAAGGUAGAAGACCAUGAGAUGACGCCUCUGGGGGACUGGGUAUAUAGCUCAAGGCUGUCCACACAACUGGGAUAUCCUUUCAUUGAGGAACCCUGGCUCCAUCUUCAGCUCUGGAGGUUCAUGCAAGUGGUUUGGAGCUAAUUCAUCCAAAACUGGCAUAGCGAUUCAGGAAUCCAGGUCUAAGACAGUUAGCACUUGCUAGGCCCCUGGACUCCAUUCAUGAAUCGAUCAAGCUCAGGCCAGAGACACAAGAGGGAGAAAUUCUUAGGGUUCUAAGUCAGACAUUUCCUAUAACUGAAAAACAAACCACUGGAUGUCAGAGGGAAGUAAAUACACUGAGUAAGGGUCAAUCAAAAAACUAUGGAGAAACUGAGUUAUAGUCUUCAGGUUAAUAAAUCCUCAAGUCUAGCUGGUUUCUAGGUUUCUUUUUUCCUGAGCCAAAUGUAUUUCCUUAUUAUUUAAGAUAGUCUGAAGUUUUGUUGCUUUGUUAUUGUUGUUCUCACUUAAACAAACCACCUCUGAUAUGGUUUGGAUGUUUUGAGCCCUCCAAAUCUCAUGUUGAAAUGUGAUUCCCAGUGUUGGAGUGAGUUCUCACUCUGAGUUCAUCCAAGAGCUGGUUGUUGAAAAGAUCCUGGCAUCUGUUUUGUUCCUUCUCUUGCCAUGAGACACACUGGCUCCUUUUCAAAUUUUGCUAUGAUUGUAAGCUUCCUGAGGCUGCCAACCAGAAGCUAAGCAGAUGCUGUUACUUUGCUUGUGAAGUCUGCAGAAUGAUGAGACAAAUAAACCUCUUUUCUUUCUGAAUUACCCAGCCUCAGAUGUUACUUUAUAGCAAAGCAGAAUGGACUAACACAACCUCAGAUCCUUUCAGGAGCAAGGCACAACAUAAAUAAAUAAAUCAAGACUAAAAAGUGACAGCACAUGGAACAACGGUAGCCAUUCAUGACUACAUCCGGCUCCCUUUGCCAGCCCUGCCUCUCACUGUGUGCACCUCUGCUUCCACUGCACCAUCCACACUCCAGAAGGACUGGCAGUUCUCUGGAUGCAUCAUGCCACCCCCUACCUUCUUGACUCUGCACAAGCUAUUAUCUACCAUCACAAUGUAUUAUUUCUGUCCAUUAAUGAGUCAACACAAAUAUCCCUUUCUAAGAAAGACCAACCUGAGCUUGCUGAGCCUGCUUACAUCCAUCUAUAUUUCUGUCUGUCUAUCUAUCUAUCUAUCUAUCUAUCUAUCUAUCUAUCUAUCUAUCAUAUCUAUCUAUCUAA
This is a long non-coding RNA of Homo sapiens (human), 3691 nucleotides long. RefSeq lists it as uncharacterized. The transcript has 3 exons. Lineage: Eukaryota; Metazoa; Chordata; Mammalia; Primates; Hominidae. The record is from RefSeq and is a predicted model, not a curated record.